ACCUGAUUGAUCCUGCCAGUAGUCAUAUGCUUGUCUCAGAGCUUAAGCCAUGCAAGUGUAAUUUCACGCCAUGCAUUAGACAGUGCGUAAACGCGAAUAGCUCAUGAAUCAGACCUAAUCAUCAGGAACGUAAUCCUCCUUGGGGGUGAUAAAUAACUGUGGCCAUUCUAGAACAAAUACGUGUAAAACAGUCCGCUAUCGGUCGGCGAAUUGUCGUCGCCUGCCGUCAGGCGCGUGGCCACCAUCGUUGAUAUUUAUGGGUCGCGGUGCCACAUAUUACACUGAGAGCGAUGCGCGUCAUUCCUUCAUCUCAACGUCGUCGUUUCUCUCCGGGCAAUCGCCCAUAGUUCUAUGGCGGGGCCGAAGGGCUGGGCCGAAGGGCGGGGCCGAAGGGCGGUGCCCUCCGUUCUAAUCACUGGUUAACUCACUGGUCGAUCGCACUGUUUUUUACGCCUGGAGACGGGUAUCUCGAUGGUCCGCCCUAUCAACUGUCGACGGUCGGUUGUGCUUACCAUGGUCAUUACGGGUAACAGGGAAUCGGGGUUCGAUUCCGGAGAGGGAGCAUGCGAAACGACUACCACGUCCAAGGAAGGCAGCAGACGCGCAAAUUACCCACUGCCGGCACGGGGAGUGAGUGACGAAAAAUAACGACACGGGACUCUGUCAAGGCAUCGCGAUCAGAAUGAGUACACUUCAAAUCAGUUACCGAGGAUCAACAAGAUGGCAAGUCUGUUGCGAGCAGCACAGGUAAUUCCGACUCCGGUAGUAUAUAUUAAAGAUGUUGCGGUUAAACAUUUUGUAGUCCGAAGUCGGGUUCG
Non-coding RNA from Acanthosepion pharaonis, 818 nucleotides. The record is from the annotation of a GenBank genome assembly. NCBI's taxonomy places the organism in Eukaryota, Metazoa, Mollusca, Cephalopoda, Sepiida, Sepiidae.